GAUGAACGCUGGCGGCGUGCCUAAUACAUGCAAGUCGAGCGAACGGACGAGAAGCUUGCUUCUCUGAUGUUAGCGGCGGACGGGUGAGUAACACGUGGAUAACCUACCUAUAAGACUGGGAUAACUUCGGGAAACCGUAGCUAAUACCGGAUAAUAUUUUGAACCGCAUGGUUCAAAAGUGAAAGACGGUCUUGCUGUCACUUAUAGAUGGAUCCGCGCUGCAUUAGCUAGUUGGUAAGGUAACGGCUUACCAAGGCAACGAUGCAUAGCCGACCUGAGAGGGUGAUCGGCCACACUGGAACUGAGACACGGUCCAGACUCCUACGGGAGGCAGCAGUAGGGAAUCUUCCGCAAUGGGCGAAAGCCUGACGGAGCAACGCCGCGUGAGUGAUGAGGGUCUUCGGAUCGUAAAACUCUGUUAUUAGGGAAGAACAUAUGUGUAAGUAACUGUGCACAUCUUGACGGUGCCUAAUCAGAAAGCCACGGCUAACUACGUG
This 497-nucleotide ribosomal RNA is filed under the name uncultured bacterium. RNAcentral's name for it is "partial 16S ribosomal RNA". It matches the Rfam family "Bacterial small subunit ribosomal RNA", at positions 28 to 507 of the family's 1533-position model. The record is from RNAcentral.